Molecule: long non-coding RNA, 1077 nt
Organism: Anolis carolinensis (green anole)
Lineage: Eukaryota; Metazoa; Chordata; Lepidosauria; Squamata; Anolidae
Exons: 2
Source: RefSeq, a predicted model, not a curated record
CAACACAAGGCUAACACCAAUCAAAAAGAAUCAACAUCUGGUGCAGGAAACUGAGAUGGAGCUAGGAUAUUCCAGGAUGGAAGAUGUCUAGCAUUAAUUUGCAACUUUGGGACAACAUCAGUAAAAUAUUGCUAUAUAAGUGACAUUAUGACAAUCCAGCAAUUGUGACAGACAGAGACGCUGUUCACCCACCAUGCUCUGCUACAUGGGAAGGCCAGAGAUAGUGUACGUGUCAGAGCUGCUAUGGGAAAGCAGGAUUCUGCUCACUUUUGGGGCCUCUUUUUCUCAUGGGAAGAAAAAAAGAGUGCGUUUUAGAGUCAUGUAGUUGCAUAGAAUCUGUAUGUUUGCAUGAGAGGUUGUUAUGCUUUGUGGGCAAGCUGGCCAUUAUUAUCCUCGGUUCCUGGACGAGUCUGAGGCAGGUGGAGAAAGCAGAGAGGGGAAAGAAAGAAAACCAGACUGCCUCGGCCUCUUCUCUUUCAUUGUUGUCUCUUUUGGGGACAAAAAGGCGGCUGAUGAAGGGGCUGCUGGAUGUAGGCUCUCCUCUUUUCACCACUUAGGCCUGGCUGCCGUAUCAGGGACGGCUGUCUCCCUGGCAAUGGCUAAACAAACCCAGCUCUUUAAGACACUCCUCAUAGGGAUUCCUGGACGAUCUAAAGACCUUUGAUCAUUUUAGUUGCCCUCCUCUGGACACCUUCCAGCUUGUCAGUAUAUCUCUUAAGCUACGAGGCCCAGAAUUGGACACAAUAUUCCAGGUGAGAUACUGGUCAAAUGACAUUUUAGAAAAGCCUUAAAAACAUGGCUAUGUGCUCAGGCUUUUAACGAAUAAACAACAAAGAAGACCCAGACUGAUGUAUGGAUAAAGCAUGAGGAUAUUGGAUGAACGGAUUUUAACCAUAUGUUUUAUAUUUUAUACUGUAUUCAAUUGUUUGUAAUAGAUUUUAUAUGCUGUUUGAUUUUAAUGAUGUGUCGGCAUCGAAUUGUUGCCAGUUGUACGCCGCCCUGAGUCCCUUCGGGUGAGAAGGGCGAGACAGAAAUAUUGGAAAUAAAUAAAUAAAUAAAAUUUAGUAUAAUGCCAAA